GAUGAAGAACGCAGCGAAAUGCGAUAAGUAGUGUGAAUUGCAGAAUUCAGUGAAUCAUCGAAUCUUUGAACGCACAUUGCGCCCGCCAGUAUUCUGGCGGGCAUGCCUGUUCGAGCGUCAUUACAACCCUCAGGCCCCCGGGCCUGGCGUUGGGGAUCGGCGGAGCCCCCCGUGGGCACACGCCGUCCCCCAAAUGCAGUGGCGGUCCCGCCGCAGCUUCCCUCGCGUAGUAGCUAACACCUCGCGACUGGAGAGCGGCGCGGCCACGCCGUUAAACCCCCAACUUCUGAACGUUUGACCUCGGAUCAGGUAGGAAUACCCGCUGAACUUAAGCAUAUCAAUAAGCGGAGGA
This 352-nucleotide unclassified non-coding RNA is filed under the name soil metagenome. Its description in RNAcentral is "partial contains 5.8S ribosomal RNA, internal transcribed spacer 2, and large subunit ribosomal RNA". The stretch from base 1 to 120 matches the Rfam family "5.8S ribosomal RNA", at positions 35 to 154 of the family's 154-position model. The record is from RNAcentral.